GACGUAGGGGGCGAGCGUUGUCCGGAUUUAUUGGGCGUAAAGAGCGCGUAGGCGGCCCGUUAAGUCGGAUGUGAAAACCCGUGGCUCAACCACGGGCCUGCAUCCGAUACUGGCGGGCUCGAGGCAGGCAGGGGAGAUCGGAAUUCCUGGUGUAGCGGUGAAAUGCGCAGAUAUCAGGAGGAACACCAACGGCGAAGGCAGCUCGCUGGGACGGUACUGACGCUGAGGCGCGAAAGCGUGGGGAGCGAACAGG
RNAcentral lists this ribosomal RNA (253 nucleotides) under uncultured bacterium. RNAcentral describes it as "partial 16S ribosomal RNA". It matches the Rfam family "Bacterial small subunit ribosomal RNA", at positions 524 to 776 of the family's 1533-position model. The record is from RNAcentral.